Molecule: unclassified non-coding RNA, 520 nt
Filed under: uncultured Glomus
Lineage: Eukaryota; Fungi; Glomeromycota; Glomeromycetes; Glomerales; Glomeraceae
Also listed under: 1 other name
Description: SSU rRNA
Rfam family: Eukaryotic small subunit ribosomal RNA
Source: RNAcentral
AGCAGCCGCGGUAAUUCCAGCUCCAAUAGUGUAUAUUAAAGUUGUUGCAGUUAAAAAGCUCGUAGUUGAAUUUCGGGAUCAAUUUGCUGGUCGUGCCUCUGGUACGUACUGGUAUUAUUGGUUUCUCCCUUCUGACGAACCAUGAUGUCAUUAAUUUGAUGUCGUGGAGAAUCAGGACUGUUACUUUGAAAAAAUUAGAGUGUUUAAAGCAGGCAUUAGCUUGAAUACAUUAGCAUGGAAUAAUGAAAUAGGACGUUUGAUCCUAUUUUGUUGGUUUCUAGGAUUGACGUAAUGAUUAAUAGGGAUAGUUGGGGGCAUUAGUAUUCAAUUGUCAGAGGUGAAAUUCUUGGAUUUAUUGAAGACUAACUACUGCGAAAGCAUUUUGCCAAGGAUGUUUUCAUUAAUCAAGAACGAAAGUUAGGGGAUCGAAGACGAUCAGAUACCGUCGUAGUCUUAACCAUAAACUAUGCCGACUAGGGAUCGGAUGAUGUUAAUUUUUUAAUGACUCAUUCGGCGCCUU